Molecule: long non-coding RNA, 1292 nt
Organism: Populus nigra (black poplar)
Lineage: Eukaryota; Viridiplantae; Streptophyta; Magnoliopsida; Malpighiales; Salicaceae
Exons: 2
Source: RefSeq, a predicted model, not a curated record
CCCAAACUUUUCAGAAGUCUAUAAAUUCCAUUUUGUGAAAAGUACAAGACUGCCAAAAGUUUUCCAGGUCACUAAAUUUCAUUGAGUACAUUACUUUUAACACUGGAAUUCAGAUCACAUAACUUCCAAUCCUACUCAUGCUAUUUGAUCACCAUGUAAUUGUAGGAAGGAUAGCAGAUUGAACCUACUUGGAAUCUUGAAUUUUUUUAAUUGAUUACACAAUAAAUCACACCACUUAAUGUAGCCUAAUGACACUAGUUAGCUCAGCUUAGAACUAUAAUAACAAUGGAUAAAGAAUCAAGAAUAUCUGAGUACUAAAGUGAUAAAGCAAAUACCUUCAUCUUUAGCGAAGGAUCAGUCACAGGUCGCAAAAAGAAUUAGAGAGCAACACAAACAAGUUGCAGUGCUGCAUAUGGUUUUUAUUUCCUCUGAUUUUCUUCUCUAUUAUCUCUACCAGCUGCUACCUGCAAUCAGAUUCUGCAAUAUGGGUGCAAAAAUGAGCCUGCUAGCAUCACAGGGGUUCACCCUGUCCCUUGUCGUGAUAAUUUUCUCAGAAGUCCUGUCCCUACAUAUGGUAAGUUGAUGGCUGUGUGUGUUUAUGCAAUUCAUUUAAUGUAAUUACAUGGGCAGAUUUUGCUUGCAGCUCUUAUUAAAUGGAAAUUUGGAACAUCUGGAGACGUGACUUAAAUGUCACAUUGGUAUGCAGGUAUAGUUGUGGCAUGUAUCUGAUACUUUGUUCCUGCUUUCGCAGUGCCAAGUGAGAUCCGGUCAGCUGAGCAAAGCAUCGCACUCUCAGUUAACAUGCUUUUCGCCUUCUUAAUUGUUCAAUUGUUUCUUCCUAUGGGUUAACAUGUUUUUCGCCUUCUCUAUUGCUCAAUUGUUUCUUCAUGAAAUGUGGCUUGUUCAUCUUCUUUGCGAGUUUCGUGGCAAUUAUGACUUCUUCAUUUAUUCCUUUCUUGCCUGAAAGGAAGCACGUACCAAUUGAAGAGAUGUAUAAAGUGUGGAAACAACAUUUGUUUUGGAGGAAAUCCAUGUCUGUAGAUGAUCACCGAGCAAAUGCCACCUCCUAUGGAGAACCAUACUUCAGGCAUCCAACCGGAAGGCAUUUUGUGUUAAAGCUUCAGAGUAGUCGUUUUCUCCAACUCGAAACAUGUUAACUGCCGUGGAGAGUAAUUUUUUUUUAAAAAAAAAAUGUCAUAUUAAUUUGUUCAUGUCAUUUUUGUAAUAUAAUUGACGUGUUGUUAAAUUUUCAUGUCAUAUUAAAUGUGAAAAGAUUCAUAUUAUGAUUAUAA